This 414-nucleotide ribosomal RNA is filed under the name uncultured bacterium. RNAcentral describes it as "bacterial SSU rRNA". It matches the Rfam family "Bacterial small subunit ribosomal RNA", at positions 64 to 507 of the family's 1533-position model. The record is from RNAcentral.
GAACGCGGCAUUGGGCAACCAGUGCCGAGUGGCGGACGGGUGAGGAACACGUGGGUUAUCUACCAAGAGGUGAGGAAUACCGGCGAGAAAUCGCCGACAAUACCGCAUAGGUUUGGAAACAAACAAAGUUGAGCAAUCAACGCCUUUUGAUGAGCCUGCGUCCGAUUAGCUAGUUGGUGGGGUAAUGGCCCACCAAGGCGACGAUCGGUAGCUGGUCUGAGAGGAUGAUCAGCCUCACUGGGACUGAGACACGGCCCAGACUCCUACGGGAGGCAGCAGUGGGGAAUAUUGGACAAUGGGCGAAAGCCUGACGCAGCCAUGCCGCGUGAAUGAUGAAGGUCUUAGGAUUGUAAAAUUCUUUCAGCGGGGAAGAUAAUGACGGUACCCGCAGAAGAAGCUCCGGCUAACUUCGUG